CGCCUCCUCCCCCUCCCGCGCCCCCCGCCUCCUCCCCCUCCCCUGUCCACAAGUCUCCCCACCCCGUUUGCUGUUUUUCAUCCUCAUGAGUUUCGUUAGGUUUUCCCACAUCUAGAACACUGCGUUGUACAGUUUUGCCUUUAAAAAAAAACUUCCUACAAAUGCUGUCGUACUGUGUUUGUUUUUCUGAACUAAAAUUUCUUGAACAUCAAGACUAGGAAG
RNAcentral lists this long non-coding RNA (222 nucleotides) under Homo sapiens (human). RNAcentral describes it as "non-protein coding lnc-TUBB2B-6:4". Lineage: Eukaryota; Metazoa; Chordata; Mammalia; Primates; Hominidae. The record is from RNAcentral.